CUGGUUGAUCCUGCCAGAGGUUACUGCUAUCGAGGUUCGACUAAGCCAUGCGAGUCGAAUGUAGCAAUACAUGGCGAACUGCUCAGUAACACGUGGACAACCUGCCCUUAGGUUGGGUAUAAACCCGGGAAACUGGGUAUAAUACCCGAUAGGUCUCGAUUGCUGGAAUGCAUCGAGAUUUAAAGCUCCGGCGCCUAAGGAUGGGUCUGCGGCCUAUCAGGUAGUAGUGGGUGUAGCGUACCUACUAGCCUACGACGGGUACGGGUUGUGAGGGCAAGAGCCCGGAGAUGGAUUCUGAGACACGAAUCCAGGCCCUACGGGGUGCAGCAGGCGCGAAAACUUUACAAUGCGGGAAACCGUGAUAAGGGAAUCUCGAGUGCCAGCAUAUAAUGUUGGCUGUCCAGAUGCCUAAAAAGCAUCUGUUAGCAAGGGCCGGGCAAGACCGGUGCCAGCCGCCGCGGUAACACCGGCGGCUCGAGUGGUAACCGUUAUUAUUGGGUCUAAAGGGUCUGUAGCCGGCCGGAUAAGUCUCUUGAGAAAUCUGGCAGCUUAACUGUCAGGCUUUCAGGAGAUACUGUCUGGCUCGAGGCCGGGAGAGGUGAGAGGUACUUCAGGGGUAGGGGUGAAAUCUUGUAAUCCUUGAAGGACCACCAGUGGCGAAGGCGUCUCACCAGAACGGACCUGACGGCAAGGGACGAAAGCUAGGGGCACGAACCGGAUUAGAUACCCGGGUAGUCCUAGCCGUAAACGAUACUCGCUAGGUGUCGGCCACGGUGCGACCGUUGUCGGUGCCGUAGGGAAGCCGUGAAGCGAGCCACCUGGGAAGUACGGCCGCAAGGCUGAAACUUAAAGGAAUUGGCGGGGGAGCACCACAACGGGUGGAGCUUGCGGUUUAAUUGGAUUCAACGCCGGG
Molecule: ribosomal RNA, 913 nt
Filed under: uncultured archaeon
Lineage: Archaea
Description: bacterial SSU rRNA
Rfam family: Archaeal small subunit ribosomal RNA
Source: RNAcentral